GGGGGUGUAAAGGUUUCGACAGGCGAAGAUAGAUACUGAUUGCGCUGGGAGGAUAGUGGUUGGCCUCUAGAAUAAUCCACUAAACAAUGAAUGCAAACAAUACAACUGCUGCAGACAAUUACGCCUUCGCAGGUGCAAUUGCUGCUUAGUACCAGCCUUGGAAUCUUCGGAAUCCAAGCGAGCUAGAGGGUAGACUUACUUCCCUGUGUAACCCUUCGGCUGUCAAAAAGAAGUAAUUGUAAUGGGACGGCGAGGAUGAUCCGAUAUUCGUCGUAUUUUAGGAAUCGGUUCCUGGUGCCUUGAUUGAUGGCUUACCUUGAACUUAAAACCAAAGUCAAUCUAUCAGCGUAGACGUUAGCAUCGAAGAGCGUUUGGACGUGGGUUCGACUCCCACCACCUCCACCA
Molecule: transfer-messenger RNA, 405 nt
Filed under: Desulfuromonadaceae
Lineage: Bacteria; Pseudomonadati; Thermodesulfobacteriota; Desulfuromonadia; Desulfuromonadales
Also listed under: 1 other name
Description: JACRCG01 sp001802645 Standard tmRNA
Rfam family: transfer-messenger RNA
About the family: Bacterial tmRNA, also known as 10Sa RNA or SsrA, is named for its dual tRNA and mRNA-like properties. Its role is to liberate the mRNA from a stalled ribosome.
Source: RNAcentral